UGGGGAAUAUUGCACAAUGGGCGCAAGCCUGAUGCAGCCAUGCCGCGUGUAUGAAGAAGGCCUUCGGGUUGUAAAGUACUUUCAGCGAGGAGGAAGGCGUUGUGGUUAAUAACCGCAGCGAUUGACGUUACUCGCAGAAGAAGCACCGGCUAACUCCGUGCCAGCAGCCGCGGUAAUACGGAGGGUGCAAGCGUUAAUCGGAAUUACUGGGCGUAAAGCGCACGCAGGCGGUCUGUCAAGUCGGAUGUGAAAUCCCCGGGCUCAACCUGGGAACUGCAUCCGAAACUGGCAGGCUAGAGUCUUGUAGAGGGGGGUAGAAUUCCAGGUGUAGCGGUGAAAUGCGUAGAGAUCUGGAGGAAUACCGGUGGCGAAGGCGGCCCCCUGGACAAAGACUGACGCUCAGGUGUGAAAGCGUGGGGAGCAAACA
Molecule: ribosomal RNA, 427 nt
Filed under: uncultured bacterium
Lineage: Bacteria
Description: partial 16S ribosomal RNA
Rfam family: Bacterial small subunit ribosomal RNA
Source: RNAcentral